This 540-nucleotide ribosomal RNA is filed under the name uncultured bacterium. Its description in RNAcentral is "bacterial SSU rRNA". It matches the Rfam family "Bacterial small subunit ribosomal RNA", at positions 355 to 896 of the family's 1533-position model. The record is from RNAcentral.
UGAGGAAUAUUGGUCAAUGGACGGAAGUCUGAACCAGCCAAGUAGCGUGCAGGAAGACGGCCCUAUGGGUUGUAAACUGCUUUUGUAUGGGGAUAAAGUCAAUCACGUGUGAUUGUUUGCAGGUACCAUACGAAUAAGGACCGGCUAAUUCCGUGCCAGCAGCCGCGGUAAUACGGAAGGUUCGGGCGUUAUCCGGAUUUAUUGGGUUUAAAGGGAGCGUAGACUGGAGAUUAAGUGUGUUGUGAAAUGUAGACGCUCAACGUCUGAAUUGCAGCGCAUACUGGUUUCCUUGAGUACGCACAACGUUGGCGGAAUUCGUCGUGUAGCGGUGAAAUGCUUAGAUAUGACGAAGAACUCCGAUUGCGAAGGCAGCUGACGGGAGCGCAACUGACGCUUAAGCUCGAAGGUGCGGGUAUCGAACAGGAUUAGAUACCCUGGUAGUCCGCACAGUAAACGAUGGAUGCCCGCUGUUGGUACCUAGUAUCAGCGGCUAAGCGAAAGCAUUAAGCAUCCCACCUGGGGAGUACGCCGGCAACGGUG